RNAcentral lists this long non-coding RNA (1151 nucleotides) under Capra hircus (goat). Its description in RNAcentral is "lncRNA (ENSCHIG00010004264.1)". Lineage: Eukaryota; Metazoa; Chordata; Mammalia; Artiodactyla; Bovidae. The record is from RNAcentral.
AGCCACAUAAGUCAUCCUAAGGAAUUUGGACUAAUGCUGGAGACAACUAAGAUUCAUUUAUUGAAGAGCUUUGAAAAGGGGGCAUUCAUGAUGAGCUUAAUCUGACUGCAGUGUGAAGAAUGGAUUGUAGUGACUCGGGUAGGAGUUANNNNNNNNNNNNNNNNNNNNNNNNNNNNNNNNNAGAUGAUGAGAUAACAAAGAGGAGAAGAUGAGAUCCUGAACAAAACUGAAGUAUGAAGGUGGCAAGAUAAAGCUGAAUUCUCAGUAGAAGUCAAAACACUGGAGGGCCAGUCCUAUCUCAGCUGGAGAGACUGAAAGGGAUGAGGAAGAGAAGGCUGUGUGAGUGAGGGCAGGUCUGGGUUCUGACCCACCUUUCCCCCUUACUAGGGUUGGAGUUUAUUUUGUCUGAUGAGAAUACAAGAGAACUAAUCAGGAGAUGAUGAAUAGAAGUAAUUUUGGAGUAAAUCACAAAGAACAGAACUUACUAACAAGAAUUGAUGCAUAACCAUUGAGAUAGGAACUGAAAGGAAAGGCUUACUUUCUCACAGAUUAUAGUUGAUGGUUUACAAGUCCUUAAUGUCUUCUUUGAGAAAGUGGAUGAGUUUUGACUCCCAGCUGGCCACAAUUACACUGGCAAGUGGUUCCAGGGGAAAGGAAAGAAAGCAGCAGGUUGCUUUGUGUUGCUCAAACGCCUAUCUGCAUCAUUCCCCAAACAGUAAGGAUUCUUCCAAAGAGCUUUGAAUUCUCUUUCUGAGGUGGCUACUGGAAGGGACUUUCUGCUCCUGUGUUUCCCUGGAGGAAGAUGUUUCAUCAGCCCCUCCCCUCCUUUGGUCAACACCAGCAAGUAAACCCUCCAGUGUGAUGCUCCAUGUCCUGAAAGGGUCUCCUGUGUUUCAACUGCUUAAAUCCGGAUUACUGAACCUGUGUCCUGCUCAGGAAGGAUUAUUUGUGAUGUUUCCUCUCAAAAGUCUUUCCUGCUUGUUUCUUCCUGGGAUGAACUCCUCAACUUUUAGGUCAAAGACCAACUAAGUUUAAGUGCUUCAGUUUAAAAUUAUGCCACUAUAAUAAAUUAAGAUGGUGUAACAAUAAAUAAAUAAAAGGGAAAUUUAACUAAACAAAUUAAUUUAAUUGAAAAGAAAUACAAUUAAAUU